AUUGAACGCUGGCGGAAUGCUUUACACAUGCAAGUCGAACGGCAGCACGGGGCAACCUGGUGGCGAGUGGCGAACGGGUGAGUAAUACAUCGGAACGUGCCCAAUCGUGGGGGAUAACGUAGCGAAAGUUACGCUAAUACCGCAUACGAUCUACGGAUGAAAGCGGGGGAUCGCAAGACCUCGCGCGAGUGGAGCGGCCGAUGUCAGAUUAGGUAGUUGGUGGGGUAAAGGCUCACCAAGCCAACGAUCUGUAGCUGGUCUGAGAGGACGACCAGCCACACUGGAACUGAGACACGGUCCAGACUCCUACGGGAGGCAGCAGUGGGGAAUUUGGACAAUGGGCGCAAGCCUGAUCCAGCCAUUCCGCGUGCAGGAUGAAGGCCUUCGGGUUGUAAACUGCUUUUGUACGGAACGAAACGGCUCUCUCUAAUACAGGGGCUAAUGACGGUACCGUAAGAAUAAGCACCGGCUAACUACGUGCCAGCCGCCGCGGUAAAACCCACGAACG
This 508-nucleotide ribosomal RNA is filed under the name uncultured bacterium. Its description in RNAcentral is "bacterial SSU rRNA". It matches the Rfam family "Bacterial small subunit ribosomal RNA", at positions 30 to 534 of the family's 1533-position model. The record is from RNAcentral.